This 90-nucleotide transfer RNA is filed under the name Acidobacterium capsulatum. RNAcentral describes it as "tRNA-Pro". It matches the Rfam family "tRNA". Rfam says of the family: Transfer RNA (tRNA) molecules are approximately 80 nucleotides in length. Their secondary structure includes four short double-helical elements and three loops (D, anti-codon, and T loops). The record is from RNAcentral. Lineage: Bacteria; Pseudomonadati; Acidobacteriota; Terriglobia; Terriglobales; Acidobacteriaceae.
CCGGUAGUGGCGAAAUUGGCAGCCGCGCCAGCCUUGGGAGCUGGUGGAGGCCUAGUCUCCGUGCGGGUUCGAAUCCCGCCUACCGGACCA